UGGCACUUCAUAUACUAGUUCGCGGCAUUGAUACUCUUGUAGAUAAAAUUCGAUUGGAAAAGCGCAUGUUAAUUAUGUAUAACACCAUGCCAACGAAAGCCUGAUUAAAUAUUUCAAGAGUCGACGAAAAGUUUUGUGUAAAUGUAAUAUUCGGUCACGCAAAAGUAUGUGAGACGCAGGAAUAGCAAAAAAAAAAGAAUCGGUAAGAAGAACAGUCAUCCUUUGUCCUCAAAUGUCAACAGUCGUUACUCGUCAAUAAACGCCGAGGGAUCGUAGAAUCAAAACAUCGCGAACCUUCGAGAUGGCCAAACUUAUUCUGGUUUGCAAACUUUCUUCUAGUGUUUCCAUUACAGUUCAAGCCGGUGAGCGAUACACAUGUUACGGACUACGUGUAUCCAUACGUUACUUAUCACUUUCAUCGCGUGAUUAAAAUAUUUUGUCGGUCUUUGGAAUUUAAUUAAUUGGCGUGGUGUUAUAUAAACGACGUUAUUUUAACGCGUGUAUUUUCGAUCAAAUCGUAUCUACGAGUAUUAGUGUCAGUGUUACAACGCAACAGCCAGGAGAAUUGAUUUGGAAGCCAGGACGGAGAACGCAAGACGCCGGGAUGCGAGCGGGCAUACAUCAUAUAUUUCCAGGAACCUAAGGUUUCGCACGGCGGUGAAAAAAUCCCGACUUCGUGCAAGCAUGCCUUGCUUGAUAGCGGUGGCCAUCGAGAAGGACGAUUCUACAUCGUUGAGCAAAAGGCGUAACCGACGUCUGCCGGGAAUAUAGCCGGGAAUCACAUCGAGUGUGAAAAUAUUUGGAACGGUCGGGCUCUUUGACUUUGACCCGGAUCGAACGUCUCCCGGCUCGUUCUUGGUUUCUACAUCUAGGAAAACCUUGCUCGCCGCGAAGAAGAAGAGGUUUCAGGAAAGUGUGCGACAUCUGAAGUACGAUGCUGAAAGUGAUGAACGUAGCCGGUUAGUCAGGUCCAACGAGCUUAACUCACAGUAGGUACAAGGUAAUCCAGAUGUCUAGUUGGAUCCCAAUAGAUCACCGAAUUUUUCUACGUUCUAAGUUCGUACCAACUUGCGGGAGACUCUAGUUUUCACGCGAUACUAUUUGUUGAUAGCAUCUUUUGAGGGUAAAGCAGAAUCUUACAUUGAUAUCAUAUUGUCUAGUUCAAAAACUAUUUCUGCUCUGCAUCUGCAUAGAACUUACAUUAUUUAACGUAGCAUUUGUCACGAUAUGGAAUAUUAAAUUAUGCAUUCUCUUUGUUAACACACAAUUAUUUAAAAAAUAAUAAUAAAAUAAAACAUUAUUUACAAUUAUACCGUGUA
Molecule: long non-coding RNA, 1319 nt
Organism: Odontomachus brunneus
Lineage: Eukaryota; Metazoa; Arthropoda; Insecta; Hymenoptera; Formicidae
Exons: 3
Source: RefSeq, a predicted model, not a curated record